UACGUAGGGGGCUAGCGUUGUCCGGAUUUAUUGGGCGUAAAGAGCGUGUAGGCGGCCCGAUAAGUCCGCCGUGAAAGUCCGGGGCUCAACCCUGGAAUGCCGGUGGAAACUGUCGGGCUGGAGUCCGGAAGAGGCGAGUGGAAUUCCUGGUGUAGCGGUGAAAUGCGCAGAUAUCAGGAGGAACACCAAUGGCGAAGGCAGCUCGCUGGGACGGUACUGACGCUGAGACGCGAAAGCGUGGGGAGCAAACAGG
RNAcentral lists this ribosomal RNA (253 nucleotides) under uncultured bacterium. RNAcentral describes it as "partial 16S ribosomal RNA". It matches the Rfam family "Bacterial small subunit ribosomal RNA", at positions 524 to 776 of the family's 1533-position model. The record is from RNAcentral.